GACGAACGCUGGCGGCGUGCUUAACACAUGCAAGUCGAACGGAAAGGCCCUGCUUUUGGGGGCGGCUCGAGUGGCGAACGGGUGAGAAGCACGUGGGUGACCGGCCCAUGACUGUGGGAUAACGGCAGGAAACGCGGGCUAAUACCGGAUAGGAGCUCCUGCGGCAUUGUGGGGGUGGGAAAGUUUCGGCGGGUGGGGAUGGACUCGCGGCCUAUCAGCUUGUUGGUGGGGUAGUGGCUUACCAAGGCUUUGACGGGUAGCCGGCCUGAGAGGGUGACCGGCCAAAUUGGGACUGAGAUACGGCACAGCCUCCUACGGGAGGCAGCAGUGGGGAAUAUUGCACAAUGGGAGGAAGCCUGAUGUAGCCACGCAGCGUGCGGGAUGACGGCAUUCGCGUUGUAAACCGCUUUCGCCUGUGACGAAGCGUGAGUGACGGUAAUGGGUAAAGAAGCACCGGCUAACUACGUG
RNAcentral lists this ribosomal RNA (468 nucleotides) under uncultured bacterium. RNAcentral's name for it is "partial 16S ribosomal RNA". It matches the Rfam family "Bacterial small subunit ribosomal RNA", at positions 28 to 507 of the family's 1533-position model. The record is from RNAcentral.